GAUGAACGCUAGCGGGAGGCUUAAUACAUGCAAGUCGAGGGGUAACAGGUUGAACUUCGGUUCGAUGCUGACGACCGGCGCACGGGUGCGUAACGCGUACACAACAUGCCUUAUACAGGAGAAUAGCCCAUGGAAACGUGGAUUAAUGCUCCAUAGUACUGAUUAAUCGCAUGAUUUGAUUAGUUAAAGCUACGGCGGUAUAAGAUUGGUGUGCGUACUAUUAGAUAGUUGGUGAGGUAACGGCUCACCAAGUCAAUGAUAGUUAGGGGGCGUGAGAGCGUGAUCCCCCACACGGGUACUGAGACACGGACCCGACUCCUACGGGAGGCAGCAGUAAGGAAUAUUGGACAAUGGGCGCAAGCCUGAUCCAGCCAUCCCGCGUGCAGGAUGACGGCGCUCUGCGUUGUAAACUGCUUUUAGACAGGAAGAAACGCCUCUAUUUAUGGGGGUUUGACGGUACUGUCAGAAUAAGCACCGGCUAAUUCCG
This 487-nucleotide ribosomal RNA is filed under the name uncultured Saprospiraceae bacterium. Its description in RNAcentral is "bacterial SSU rRNA". It matches the Rfam family "Bacterial small subunit ribosomal RNA", at positions 28 to 505 of the family's 1533-position model. The record is from RNAcentral. Lineage: Bacteria; Pseudomonadati; Bacteroidota; Saprospiria; Saprospirales; Saprospiraceae.